GACGAACGCUGGCGGCGUGCUUAACACAUGCAAGUCGAACGGAAAGGCCCUGCUUUUGUGGGGUGCUCGAGUGGCGAACGGGUGAGUAACACGUGAGUAACCUGCCCUUGACUUUGGGAUAACUUCAGGAAACUGGGGCUAAUACCGGAUAGGAGCUCCUGCUGCAUGGUGGGGUUGGAAAGUUUCGGCGGUUGGGGAUGGACUCGCGGCUUAUCAGCUUGUUGGUGGGGUAGUGGCUUACCAAGGCUUUGACGGGUAGCCGGCCUGAGGGGGUGACCGGCCACAUUGGGACGGAGAAACGGCCCGGACCCCGAGGGGGGGAAGCGGGGGGGAAUUUUGCCCAAGGGGGGGAGGCCUGUGGCGGCAACGCGGGGGGGGGGAUGAGGGCCUUGGGGUUGAAAACCGCUUUCCCCGGGGCCGAGGGGGGGGGGACGGUAAGGGGUAAAGAAGCCCCGGCUAACUACGU
This 466-nucleotide ribosomal RNA is filed under the name uncultured bacterium. RNAcentral's name for it is "partial 16S ribosomal RNA". It matches the Rfam family "Bacterial small subunit ribosomal RNA", at positions 28 to 506 of the family's 1533-position model. The record is from RNAcentral.